This 274-nucleotide ribosomal RNA is filed under the name uncultured bacterium. RNAcentral describes it as "partial 16S ribosomal RNA". It matches the Rfam family "Bacterial small subunit ribosomal RNA", at positions 523 to 796 of the family's 1533-position model. The record is from RNAcentral.
AUACGGAGGGUGCAAGCGUUACUCGGAAUCACUGGGCGUAAAGCGCGCGCAGGCGGCUUGAUAAGUUGGAUGUGAAAGCCUACGGCUCAACCGUAGAACUGCAUCCAAAACUGUCAAGCUAGAGUCUGGGAGGGGAAGAUGGAAUUAGUUGUGUAGGGGUAAAAUCCGUAGAGAUAACUAGGAAUACCAAAAGCGAAGGCAAUCUUCUGGAACACUACUGACGCUGAGGCGCGAAGGCGUGGGGAGCAAACAGGAUUAGAAACCCGAGUAGUCC